GGGGGUGCUUUUACCGGAGGGGCCACACCCGUUCCCAUUCCGAAUACGGCCGUUAAGCCCUCCAGGGCCGAUGGUACUGUUCUCGCAAGGGAAUGGGAGAGUAGGUCAGUGCCCCCU
Molecule: ribosomal RNA, 117 nt
Filed under: Candidatus Omnitrophota bacterium
Lineage: Bacteria; Pseudomonadati; Candidatus Omnitrophota
Source: RNAcentral